Molecule: non-coding RNA, 219 nt
Filed under: Lachnobacterium bovis
Lineage: Bacteria; Bacillati; Bacillota; Clostridia; Lachnospirales; Lachnospiraceae
Description: T-box sequence
Rfam family: T-box leader
About the family: Uncharged tRNA acts as the effector for transcription antitermination of genes in the T-box leader family.
Source: RNAcentral
GUUAAAGCUUUGAAUAGGAGUAGUAGAAGAGUGCAAUUUUUCAGAGAGUUAUCGUUUGGUGGAAGGUAAUAUUUGCUAACUUUGAACUCGCCUAGGAGCUCUUUCUUUGAAAUGAUAGUAGGAGAAAGCGGAUUGUUCCACGUUAUAGGAAGUUGAGUGCAUAUCGUUGUGAUAUGAAUUAGAGUGGUACCACGGAGAAUAGAUUACUUCGCCUCUUAC